AGGCCGAAAGGCGUAGUCGAUGGGAAACAGGUUAAUAUUCCUGUACUUGGUGUUACUGCGAAGGGGGGACGGAGAAGGCUAUGUUAGCCGGGCGACGGUUGUCCCGGUUUAAGCAUGUAGGCUGAUUGUCCAGGCAAAUCCGGAUAAUCAAGGCUGAGGUGUGAUGACGAGGCACUACGGUGCUGAAGUAACAAAUGCCCUGCUUCCAGGAAAAGCCUCUAAGCAUCAGGUAACAUCAAAUCGUACCCCAAACCG
Molecule: ribosomal RNA, 255 nt
Filed under: Klebsiella pneumoniae
Lineage: Bacteria; Pseudomonadati; Pseudomonadota; Gammaproteobacteria; Enterobacterales; Enterobacteriaceae
Also listed under: 1 other name
Description: partial 23S ribosomal RNA
Rfam family: Bacterial large subunit ribosomal RNA
Source: RNAcentral